GUUCCCUGGAAAGGGGCGCC
RNAcentral lists this small nuclear RNA (20 nucleotides) under Arabidopsis thaliana (thale cress). RNAcentral's name for it is "snRNA_16195". Lineage: Eukaryota; Viridiplantae; Streptophyta; Magnoliopsida; Brassicales; Brassicaceae. The record is from RNAcentral.